This is a small nucleolar RNA of Otolemur garnettii (small-eared galago), 115 nucleotides long. The record is from Ensembl. Lineage: Eukaryota; Metazoa; Chordata; Mammalia; Primates; Galagidae.
AAAAGUCCCUCCGACAAAAGUGUCCGACACAAUUUGAGCUUGCUAUAGCAAGAAAGUCUAACCUAUUCUCGUGUUCUCCCUUUGUGGGAUAAGCCAUUAUAUAGACUUUAACACU